AGCCCAGAGCCUGAAUCAGUGUGUGUGUUAGUGGAAGCGUCUGGAAAGGCGCGCGAUACAGGGUGACAGCCCCGUACACAAAAAUGCACAUGCUGUGAGCUCGAUGAGUAGGGCGGGACACGUGGUAUCCUGUCUGAAUAUGGGGGGACCAUCCUCCAAGGCUAAAUACUCCUGACUGACCGAUAGUGAACCAGUACCGUGAGGGAAAGGCGAAAAGAACCCCGGCGAGGGGAGUGAAAAAGAACCUGAAACCGUGUACGUACAAGCAGUGGGAGCACAGAGCAAUCUGUGUGACUGCGUACCUUUUGUAUAAUGGGUCAGCGACUUAUAUUCUGUAGCAAGGUUAACCGAAUAGGGGAGCCGAAGGGAAACCGAGUCUUAACUGGGCGUUAAGUUGCAGGGUAUAGACCCGAAACCCGGUGAUCUAGCCAUGGGCAGGUUGAAGGUUGGGUAACACUAACUGGAGGACCGAACCGACUAAUGUUGAAAAAUUAGCGGAUGACUUGUGGCUGGGGGUGAAAGGCCAAUCAAACCGGGAGAUAGCUGGUUCUCCCCGAAAGCUAUUUAGGUAGCGCCUCGUGAAUUCAUCUCCGGGGGUAGAGCACUGUUUCGGCAAGGGGGUCAUCCCGACUUACCAACCCGAUGCAAACUGCGAAUACCGGAGAAUGUUAUCACGGGAGACACACGGCGGGUGCUAACGUCCGUCGUGAAGAGGGAAACAACCCAGACCGCCAGCUAAGGUCCCAAAGUCAUGGUUAAGUGGGAAACGAUGUGGGAAGGCCCAGACAGCCAGGAUGUUGGCUUAGAAGCAGCCAUCAUUUAAAGAAAGCGUAAUAGCUCACUGGUCGAGUCGGCCUGCGCGGAAGAUGUAACGGGGCUAAACC
Molecule: ribosomal RNA, 884 nt
Filed under: Escherichia coli
Lineage: Bacteria; Pseudomonadati; Pseudomonadota; Gammaproteobacteria; Enterobacterales; Enterobacteriaceae
Description: partial 23S ribosomal RNA
Rfam family: Bacterial large subunit ribosomal RNA
Source: RNAcentral